RNAcentral lists this unclassified non-coding RNA (1291 nucleotides) under Hevea brasiliensis (rubber tree). Lineage: Eukaryota; Viridiplantae; Streptophyta; Magnoliopsida; Malpighiales; Euphorbiaceae. The record is from RNAcentral.
GUUAAUCUAUGUAUGAUGGUUCAUGACCACAAAUUAUGUUGCAGUUUGUACAUUAAGUGCCCACAUAUACCAUCUGAAAGGCAGAGUUUGCGGUCACUGGAAUUAAAAUACAAAUAAUGUGCUUCUAUUAACCGGAUCAAGCAGCUAUCGCUGUGGGUGUAGCCGGAGCAACCCUGUUCUCGCCAGGAAUCUCAGUAAACUCCGACAAAAUCGCUCUGAACUCAUCGCCUGUCAUGGUUUCCUUCUCAAGGAGAACCUCAACGAUCUUAUCCAUUGCUUCUCGGUUAUUUCUGAUAUGACCCAACGCAAUCUCGUAAGCGCUGUCCGAUAUCCGCUUGAUAGCAGCGUCAAUAUCCUCUGCAAGCUUCUCGGACAUGGAGUUCCUCGCCAUCAUUCUCAUGAUCACAUCCCCGCUCUGUCCUCCAGAGUCCAUAAGCGACCAUGGCCCGAUCUCCGACAUUCCAAACGUGGUCACCAUCUGCUUGGCCAAGCCAGUGAUCUGCUGUAAAUCACCGACAGCGCCAGUCGUAACCUCCGGUUCUCCAAAGAUCACCUCCUCAGCAGCUCUGCCACCAAGACCACCAACGAUUCUCGCAAACAGCUGUUGUUUAGAGAUCAAGGUCGGAUCAUCGGCAGGGAUGAACCAAGUAAGACCUCUCGCUUGCCCACGAGGAAUCAGGGUCACCUUUUGGACCGCAUCGUGUCCUGGAGUCAAGGUUCCGCAAAUAGCAUGACCGACUUCAUGAUACGCCACCAAACUUUUGCUCUUUCCGUCAGUCAUGACGGUUCCUUCCAUUCCAGCCACAAUCCUGUCGAUAGAAUCAUCUAUCUCCUUCGAUGAAAUAGCUGUCUUGCCGCGACGACCAGCCAAUAUUGCUGCCUCAUUCAAUAGAUUUGCGAGGUCUGCUCCACUAAAACCAGGCGUGCGCAUCGCUACGACAUCGAGCGACACAUCGGAAUCAAACUUCUUAUUGCUAGCGUGCACUUUCAGUAUCUCCGUGCGUCCGCGCACAUCUGGAACAUCAACGCUAACCUGUCUGUCGAAGCGUCCAGGUCUCAGCAAUGCAGAGUCGAGAAUAUCAGCACGGUUGGUGGCCGCAACGACAAUGAUACCAGUAUUGCCCUCAAAGCCGUCCAUCUCAGUCAAAAGCUGAUUAAGAGUCUGUUCUCUCUCAUCGUUCCCCCCUCCGAUACCAGUUCCUCUUUGCCUCCCAACAGCGUCAAUCUCAUCGACAAAGACAAUACACGGAGCAUUCUCCUUCGCCUUCUUGAAAAGAUCACGAACUCUCGA